This 796-nucleotide ribosomal RNA is filed under the name uncultured bacterium. RNAcentral describes it as "partial 16S ribosomal RNA". It matches the Rfam family "Bacterial small subunit ribosomal RNA", at positions 329 to 1104 of the family's 1533-position model. The record is from RNAcentral.
GCCCUUACUCCUGCGGGAAGGCAGCAGUAGGGAAUCUUCCACAAUGGACGCAAGUCUGAUGGAGCAACGCCGCGUGAGUGAAGAAGGUUUUCGGAUCGUAAAGCUCUGUUGUUGGUGAAGAAGGAUAGAGGUAGUAACUGGCCUUUAUUUGACGGUAAUCAACCAGAAAGUCACGGCUAACUACGUGCCAGCAGCCGCGGUAAUACGUAGGUGGCAAGCGUUGUCCGAAUUUAUUGGGCGUAAAGCGAGCGCAGGCGGAAGAAUAAGUCUGAUGUGAAAGCCCUCGGCUUAACCGAGGAACUGCAUCGGAAACUGUUUUUCUUGAGUGCAGAAGAGGAGAGUGGAACUCCAUGUGUAGCGGUGGAAUGCGUAGAUAUAUGGAAGAACACCAGUGGCGAAGGCGGCUCUCUGGUCUGCAACUGACGCUGAGGCUCGAAAGCAUGGGUAGCGAACAGGAUUAGAUACCCUGGUAGUCCAUGCCGUAAACGAUGAGUGCUAAGUGUUGGGAGGUUUCCGCCUCUCAGUGCUGCAGCUAACGCAUUAAGCACUCCGCCUGGGGAGUACGACCGCAAGGUUGAAACUCAAAGGAAUUGACGGGGGCCCGCACNAGCGGUGNANCAUGUGGUUUAAUUCGAAGCCACCCCGAAAANCCUUACCAGGUCUUGACNUCUAGUGCCCNUUUGUANAGAUACAAAGUUCCCCUUCGGGGANCCUUANAACAGGGNGGGGCCNUGGCUNGUCGUCCACCUCCUGCCCNUNANAUGUUGGGGUUUANUCCCCNCAACGAGCGCAACCC